RNAcentral lists this ribosomal RNA (434 nucleotides) under uncultured Eubacteriaceae bacterium. Its description in RNAcentral is "bacterial SSU rRNA". It matches the Rfam family "Bacterial small subunit ribosomal RNA", at positions 341 to 792 of the family's 1533-position model. Lineage: Bacteria; Bacillati; Bacillota; Clostridia; Eubacteriales; Eubacteriaceae. The record is from RNAcentral.
ACGGAAGGCAGCAGUGGGGAAUAUUGCGCAAUGGGGGGAACCCUGACGCAGCAAUACCGCGUGAGUGAAGAAGGUUUUCGGAUCGUAAAACUCUUUUAUCGGGGAAGAUAAUGACGGUACCCGAUGAAGAAGUCCCGGCUAACUACGUGCCAGCAGCCGCGGUAAUACGUAGGGGACAAGCGUUGUCCGGAAUGACUGGGCGUAAAGGGCGCGUAGGCGGACUGAUAAGUCUGAUGUGAAAGGUCUCGGCUCGACCGAGGACAUGCAUUGGAAACUGUCAGCCUUGAGUACUGGAGAGGCAAGUGGAAUUCCUAGUGUAGCGGUGAAAUGCGUAGAUAUUAGGAGGAACACCGGCGGCGAAGGCGGCUUGCUGGACAGAUACUGACGCUGAGGCGCGAAAGCGUGGGGAGCAAACAGGAUUAGAUACCCUGGUA